CCUACGGGAGGCAGCAGUGAGGAAUAUUGGUCAAUGGACGAGAGUCUGAACCAGCCAAGUCGCGUGAAGGAUGACUGCCCUAUGGGUUGUAAACUUCUUUUAUAUGGGAAUAAAAUGUUCCACGUGUGGGAUUUUGUAUGUACCAUAUGAAUAAGGAUCGGCUAACUCCGUGCCAGCAGCCGCGGUAAUACGGAGGAUCCGAGCGUUAUCCGGAUUUAUUGGGUUUAAAGGGAGCGUAGGUGGAUUGUUAAGUCAGUGGUGAAAGUUUGCGGCUCAACCGUAAAAUUGCAGUUGAAACUGGCAGUCUUGAGUACAGGAGAGGUGGGCGGAAUUCGUGGUGUAGCGGUGAAAUGCUUAGAUAUAACGAAGAACUCCGAGUGCGAAGGCAGUUCACUGGACGGCAACUGACACUGAGGCGCGAAAGUGUGGGUAUCAAACAGGAUUAGAUACCCCAGUAGUC
This 460-nucleotide ribosomal RNA is filed under the name uncultured bacterium. Its description in RNAcentral is "partial 16S ribosomal RNA". It matches the Rfam family "Bacterial small subunit ribosomal RNA", at positions 338 to 795 of the family's 1533-position model. The record is from RNAcentral.